Cygnus olor (mute swan) is the source of this 5551-nucleotide long non-coding RNA. RefSeq lists it as uncharacterized. The transcript is spliced from 5 exons. Lineage: Eukaryota; Metazoa; Chordata; Aves; Anseriformes; Anatidae. The record is from RefSeq and is a predicted model, not a curated record.
AUCGGCGCGCAUGCGCCGACCCGCCCGGACGGCCCUGAGGAGGCGGAUGGGAGAGGGGGCGGGGAGCCACCCGGAGCGCCGCCGGAACAGCCAAUGGGAGGGCGGCGGCGGCUUCGCCCCGCCCCUAGCGCGGGGGCGGUGGCCGUUGGGCACGCCUCAACGGCCGGGGUGGUCACGUGGCCUCGGCGCCUCAGGGGGCGCGGGGGGAGGAGCCGUGCCCGCUUGUCAGGGCCAUGGCUGCGGGUCAGGCGUGUGGAGUACCUCAGUAACGUUACAGUGUUCUGUGGCCCGCCUUCGGCACCGCAAAAUCAGCAGCCUGCUCGUUACCCUCAGACUCAGUGCUUUCUCAGGCAGCCAACGGAACUUAUGGGGAGUCAUAAUUAGUAUAUUAGCAGUACACACAAAGCAGCGUGGUCAGACGGUACUGGGCAUCUCUCCUGUGUGUCCCCUCUGUGGGGUGAGUAGAUUGAAUCUUUGUUCACGUCCUUGCUUCCCUACUGACUGAUGAAAAUUCUUGCCCUUACAUCAUGACAUUGCUUCAAUACACCGUGGCAUGGUAAUGUUUAAUCACAGCUGUGGAAUUUCUAAACGUGCUAAGAAAGGUCCAGAGAUGACAUACUAGAGAGUAAGAAUGAUGGAUACUUGUUUGUAGCCCUUCCUGAAAAAAUCCCAGAGUGCAUACUAAACUUAACAAACCAAUUACAAACUAUUAUAUUGAAGGAAUUACAUCACUCAUCAUUGAAAUGCAGCUACCUCAGGGAGAAGGCAGAAAAUAUUUUAAUAGUGUACAGAAGUAUUUCAACACUUCAGGAGAGAAAAUGAAUAAUACCAUAAUCAACUGAGCAGAAAGAGAAGGUUUAGGCUUUUGAUUACCAGAUGAAGGAGUGACUUUAGUGGGGGAGGAGGUCUCUGGUCCCACCUUCUGCCCUGAGCUGACCCAGCUCUGGAAGCAGACCAGGCUGCUCAGGGUGUUCACCAGGCCGGUCUUGAAACCCUCUGAAGAUGGAGCCUGGACAACCUCACUGGCAACCCGCUCCACUACCUGACUCUCCUCAGGGAAAAGUAAAAGGAUAAGACAAAAAAAAUGACAGAAGGAAGAAACUAAUAUAUAUUGUGGGAAGGAGCCUGAAGAUUAGCUUCUUUCUGGCUGAAAGAGCCUGAUCUGCAGUCAAAAUAGUCUUUUUGUGUGUUCUUCAACUGCCACCUAUAUCGUUAAUAAAUCAGAAUGUGCCAGGAGAGAGGCAUUUAGGCACAUUUGAUCUCCUAGGGUACCUUUGUUGCCUAAAGACAAGGCCUGGCAACAUCUGCUUUUUGGAGACUUAUUUCCAGAAAGCAUGGGGAAAGUUUGCACUCCUGAAGCAGGACACUGAGGCCAACAGCAGAGCUGAUGGCUGCAUCCUACCUAAUCGAGGGGAAUUUAAAGACUUCUAAGCCCACCAGAUGUGCACAGACAUACAAAUUAGAUGAGUAUCUAUAAAGAUGAUACAGAAAAUGAUACAGAAAUGGCAGUGUUAAUUUAUAUGCUAGGCUACCAUAAAUGCAAAUGUGAAUAGUAGUUGUACAUCAAAAUUGCCAUUACUUUUUUCACCUAAAGGGUGUAGUGCACAUCUUGAAGUAAAUGUUCCCUAAAUUAUAGACACUCUGUAGUUAUCUAUAAUACCCUCACUUUACAAAGAACAGUUUUUUGAAACAUCACUUUCAAAACUCUAAUAAAUUUAAACAGAUGUUCAAUCAAACAAAAGUUUUGAGAGAUGUUAAUAAGCUCUAUGAGAUAAAAUUAGGGAUGGGAAACAAAGCCUGUAAAUGGAUACAUAAACAAGCUCACUAUUUAAUAGGUCUAUAACAAUUGCACAUCGAAGAAGAGCGUUAUAAAUCCCUUCUGCCUGUCAUAGCUCAGUACGUACGUUAAAGAAGCCAAGACUAAUCAAACUCUGAAAGAUGGGCCGGUGGUCUGAUUACCUAAUUCACCUGACUAUAAUUAAUUUUUCUAAAAUAUCCUAGACAUUACAGUUAAAACUAUCAAAUAAAAAUCCACUUGGCCACAUUUUUUUCAUUUACAGCUUAAAAUAACAAUACUGACCUUGGUGUGAGGUAAAUUCUUGAGAUUAAUGACCAGCUUGGGUUAAUGAUCCUUGGCUGUUCUGCUGACCUUCAUCUCCUCCCAGCCAGUCAUUAAUUCUCAGGAAAUUUACUGCACCUUGAUUGUUAUUACUUACAUAGCCCACAUGUAAACCUCAGGAACUGUGAGUGAAGUACCACUUACAUAUUUGCCAUGGAACUCUUACAGCAGAAAAGAAAGCAAAAACAGCUUCCAAACUUCUAAGAAGCAGAAUGACAAAGCAUAUGACUUUGGUCAAAGUUAAUAAGAACCUUGCAUUCAUUGUGUGCUGUUUUCUCUGUAUGAGUCCUGGAGCAAUUAUUGAAAAAUACUAGUGUAGCAUUUGGCAUCGACUGUUUAGUUCAGGCAUUUUUAAAACAGCUAUCAAGUUUGUAUUUAGAGGCUAAUGUAGUUCUUCAAAGUACCAUUCAUUCUUCUUUCACUGGAAAUAGUGCAAACCAGAACGAUGCAUUUAUAAGCGUAUAAAAUGAGUAAGAAGGAUUUCAGGUAUUUGCUCCUCACUUAUUUUUCCCUGUCCACCUGUCACAUAGUUAACACCUGCACUUAGCUACAGUUUAUAGAUGGAGGUUUUGAGGCAGAGAGAAGAUAUGAUUUGCCUAAGACCUUACAAAUAUCCCCAUAUGGAGUUAUAAUUGGAAGAUUAGAUUUUUUCUAGUUAAUGCUGAAGCAAGUGUUCAUUCCUGAUGACCAUUUUGCCCUUUCUCUCUGUGCUAAGGAUUGUGUUCCUGAUGACAGCAUGAAAAACUGAGAUGCCUUUCCUAGCAUGAAGGACAUCAGAGUUCCAGGUUUAGUAACAAACAGGAAGAAAAAAAAAGUGAUACAACAUUCCUUUCUAGAGCUUCUUGAAUGGGCGGUUCUGGAAAACAAGGAAACAAGCAAAACCCAAAACCAUUGCAGCUGAACUUGAAGACAUAAAUACUUCAUGAUGUCAAAAGCCUUCCCCUUAGAUUUGGAUCUAGCUAUGCUUCCUUUUCCCCCAAGAAAUGAACCCACUGCUCCUGCGGUGGAGGUGACACAGCCAAGCCCAGUGGUGUCACAAGCCUGAUGACUGUGCCCAGGAAGCCCGAGCACGGCCCCUGCCACUGCAUCCUUCUGCUGCUGGCACAGAGAUAUAGUUGGGAAAGAAGUGAAGUAGCCCCAGGCUGUGUGCCUCCUGCUGAAACAGCUUGUAAAUAGAUACCUGUGUGCAAUGCAGUGUGGCAGGUAAGGAUAAACAUGAAAUUUAUCCUGCUGCUAAUGCCACAGUAAGAAGUCAUGCCUGGGGAGGGAGGCUUGUUCUCCAUCUACAAGCAUCUCUGUGGCAGGAAAAGCAGGAAAAAAACAAAUUCCACAGUCAUCAGCUGGCUGUGAACGCAUGUAUCUGGUAGCAGUCAGGGGCCAGGUGUGGUAUGGGCCACUGCAGCUGGGAUAGUUAUGGGCUCCCUGCAGGCCUUUUGAAGCUGGCUACUCUGCACUGGGAGCCAAUGAGGCAGCCAUUGGAAUAGGAAAAACAACAACAACAAACACCUGUGUUCUUAACCCUUAGGUAUUACUGGUAUGUUUGUAAAUGGUUUUGCAAAGGAGACAGAAUCUUAUUCAAUUUGUAAUUGCAUAUCAACUUACAUUAUCUUCCAUUCUUUUUGCCUUUCUCGUUUCAUUUGUCUACCUAACUAGGCCCUGCAUUGCUUACCAGCAGUGUUCUGGCUAAAGAAAACUGGAUGAGAAGAUGUGGAGAACAGUGGUACUUUAACCAGCUAGAAAGAUAACCUUUGAAAGACAUUUUUUUCCCCCAUAAGCAAUUGAUUUCAAUGUCUUCCCAGCACUCCUAGGUCUGCCAGUCUGAAAACAAAACAAAAAACCAAAGCUAGGAGUAGAAAUAAACCAGCUACUAAAUGUUUUAUUUCCACUGUAGUUUCUGGCUCUGUGCAGAUGUGGACUUAGCAAGCAAAGGAGUGGUUUUCCCAAGAGAAGCAAAAGCAUCAAAAUGCAGUUACUUUAUAAGGACUGUUGUUACAGCAAAAAUAUUUUUUAAUGAGAAGGAGAAGUCUUAUUUCUUCACACACUAUAUAUAACUUUAUAAACCCUUCCUUUGAACUAUUUGCAUGCAACAUAAGCUGCAUCCAAAGUUAACAUUUUAUUAAAAGUUUCCCUUCCAUGUUUUCAUAAUACACAACUUAAAACCAUAUGACUUUUCUCAAGGUCUAGGAGAACUUUACUGAGAUAAAAUGAGAAGAACUUCAGAAGUUAGUCAAAAGUCUGAUUUUAGUGCAGAUGUAGUUCCUUGUAAUGGACUGGAAGAAAGAAGGGAAAAGAUCAAGAACUGACAGAGUUUAUUUCUGCAGGCCCUGUGACCUGAUGAGGUAAGGACAAAAAUCUUCCAUCAGUGGCAAGAUGUUCAGAAAAAGAGAUGGAUUCUACUAAGGAUGUGUUUUCUGAGGACAGCAGUGGAUGCUGGUGGGUCAGCUAUGUGGCAGCUGGUUGCCGUAACAAGGGAUGAGAGGCUGAAGAUCUGCAGGAGUCAGACAGCCUGGCUGCUGGAAAAAGGAGGAGUGAGUGGAUGAAUGAAGGAAGGAAUAGACAAAUAGAUACACUCCAUCUCAAAUAAACUGCAGCACCAUUACAGUAUACCAAACAGCUUGAUGCACAUACUGGAUUACCAGCUAAAAUGCAGAUUUUCUUUCAGGGAGACUGAAAUAACUUACUUAAGAAAACAUGCAAGUAGCAAACCUUAGUUGUCUCAUCUGUUCCAUAACAUAAAGAGAAAUGUUUUUUCUCCAUAUCUUUUUUUUGACCUUAUGACAUUUCACUAACAUAAAGUUUAUCUAAAAAUUCUUUUUAUUUUCAAAUAUUUUUUUGAUGUCACACUGAGAUUGUAAUAUGAAUAACAUUUUCAGAAAUGUCAGUGAUACAGACAAUAAACAUUAGUGACUUCUCUAAAAGUCAAAAUUAUGCAUGACUUGUCACCUUUUCAAUGCUUUUCCAUCUCUGUCCCAAUAUCCCAUAUCUGAAGCAAACGUACUCAAAUAUUUGGUCAUUAAUUAAUAGCAGCUAGCUUGAAAAGACUUCUAGAAAUGAAGAGCUAUUUAGACAAGCAGACGAUGUACUAUAUACUUUUGGUUUCACAACAAAGAUUUCUUUCUUUCCUCCUUGCAGAAAAGGAAUAUGUGAAUGAAGAGCUUUGGUUACUAAAUACAUGCAACAUAGAUACAUUUAUUACUGGCAGAAGUAGCUCAGUGCCAACUGACAUUUUCCAAAGUCCUUACUUACAAAGUCUUACUUAAAGGACUGUUUUGUGUAAUUAUGCAUUAAUGGCAGCAAUUUGAUGAUGUUUAUUAAAAGUACAUUAAAGGAAGAAGAUGCAGAAGAUAGAAUAACUGUGGUUUUAAUAGACUAAAAAACAAACAAUCCAAUAUAUUUUCCCACGAGAAAAUACAGUAAAUGAUCAUGCAAUUA